Molecule: ribosomal RNA, 439 nt
Filed under: uncultured bacterium
Lineage: Bacteria
Description: partial 16S ribosomal RNA
Rfam family: Bacterial small subunit ribosomal RNA
Source: RNAcentral
CUACGGGUGGCAGCAGUGGGGAAUCUUGCGCAAUGGGCGAAAGCCUGACGCAGCCAUGCCGCGUGAAUGAUGAAGGUCUUAGGAUUGUAAAAUUCUUUCACCGGGGACGAUAAUGACGGUACCCGGAGAAGAAGCCCCGGCUAACUUCGUGCCAGCAGCCGCGGUAAUACGAAGGGGGCUAGCGUUGCUCGGAAUUACUGGGCGUAAAGGGAGCGUAGGCGGACAUUUAAGUCAGGGGUGAAAUCCCGGGGCUCAACCUCGGAAUUGCCUUUGAUACUGGGUGUCUUGAGUAUGAGAGAGGUGUGUGGAACUCCGAGUGUAGAGGUGAAAUUCGUCGAUAUUCGGAAGAACACCAGUGGCGAAGGCGACCCACUGGCUCAUUACUUACGCUGAGACUCGAAAGCGUGGGGAGCAAACAGGAUUAGAUACCCUAGUAGUC